Molecule: ribosomal RNA, 706 nt
Filed under: Shigella flexneri
Lineage: Bacteria; Pseudomonadati; Pseudomonadota; Gammaproteobacteria; Enterobacterales; Enterobacteriaceae
Description: bacterial SSU rRNA
Rfam family: Bacterial small subunit ribosomal RNA
Source: RNAcentral
GUGGCUUCCGGAGCUAACGCGUUAAGUCGACCGCCUGGGGAGUACGGCCGCAAGGUUAAAACUCAAAUGAAUUGACGGGGGCCCGCACAAGCGGUGGAGCAUGUGGUUUAAUUCGAUGCAACGCGAAGAACCUUACCUGGUCUUGACAUCCACGGAAGUUUUCAGAGAUGAGAAUGUGCCUUCGGGAACCGUGAGACAGGUGCUGCAUGGCUGUCGUCAGCUCGUGUUGUGAAAUGUUGGGUUAAGUCCCGCAACGAGCGCAACCCUUAUCCUUUGUUGCCAGCGGUCCGGCCGGGAACUCAAAGGAGACUGCCAGUGAUAAACUGGAGGAAGGUGGGGAUGACGUCAAGUCAUCAUGGCCCUUACGACCAGGGCUACACACGUGCUACAAUGGCGCAUACAAAGAGAAGCGACCUCGCGAGAGCAAGCGGACCUCAUAAAGUGCGUCGUAGUCCGGAUUGGAGUCUGCAACUCGACUCCAUGAAGUCGGAAUCGCUAGUAAUCGUGGAUCAGAAUGCCACGGUGAAUACGUUCCCGGGCCUUGUACACACCGCCCGUCACACCAUGGGAGUGGGUUGCAAAAGAAGUAGGUAGCUUAACCUUCGGGAGGGCGCUUACCACUUUGUGAUUCAUGACUGGGGUGAAGUCGUAACAAGGUAACCGUAGGGGAACCUGCGGUUGGAUCACCUCCUUACCUUAAAGAAGC